UACGGGGGGGGGCAAGCGUUGUUCGGAAUUACUGGGCGUAAAGGGCUCGUAGGCGGCCCUCUCAGUCGGAUGUGAAAUCCCCAGGCUCAACUUGGGAACUGCAUCCGAUACUGGAUGGCUUGAAUUCGGGAGAGGGAUGCAGAAUUCCAGGUGUAGCGGUGAAAUGCGUAGAUAUCUGGAGGAAUACCGGUGGCGAAGGCGGCAUCCUGGACCGACAUUGACGCUGAGGAGCGAAAGCUAGGGGAGCAAACGGGG
Molecule: ribosomal RNA, 255 nt
Filed under: uncultured bacterium
Lineage: Bacteria
Description: partial 16S ribosomal RNA
Rfam family: Bacterial small subunit ribosomal RNA
Source: RNAcentral